GACGUAGGGCGCGAGCGUUGUCCGGAUUUAUUGGGCGUAAAGAGCUCGUAGGCGGCUUGUCGCGUCGUCUGUGAAAUCCCGCGGCUCAACCGCGGGUCUGCAGUGGGUACGGGCAGACUAGAGUGUGGUAGGGGAGACUGGAAUUCCUGGUGUAGCGGUGGAAUGCGCAGAUAUCAGGAGGAACACCGAUGGCGAAGGCAGGUCUCUGGGCCACUACUGACGCUGAGAAGCGAAAGCAUGGGGAGCGAACAGG
Molecule: ribosomal RNA, 253 nt
Filed under: uncultured bacterium
Lineage: Bacteria
Description: partial 16S ribosomal RNA
Rfam family: Bacterial small subunit ribosomal RNA
Source: RNAcentral